UUGCUUGUUUUGUCGUGUGCCGAUUAUGUGUACGAAUUGUGAAAUACAUCGGACGGAAAUGGCAAGAGUACAAGGAAAGAAAGGCUGCUGCUAAUAUGCCACCUAAACCUGACAAAUCAAUAUGGCAGCCGAAACGAAAGCUUAAGAAAAAGAAGAGAAUUGACGACUGAUAGUUGCCAAUCAUGUUUACUUCGUUUUGCUGCCUGAAAAUCGAAUAAAUGUUGACUGAGUGAAAAUCAGCCUACGGAUUUUUAUUUUAUUCCGGCAGUCAAAUUCAGCUUUAAGAUAUUAAAAACAUACUAAAGUUUUCAUCCAUUAAAGUUGAUCAAUGCGAUUUA
Molecule: long non-coding RNA, 338 nt
Organism: Pocillopora damicornis (cauliflower coral)
Lineage: Eukaryota; Metazoa; Cnidaria; Anthozoa; Scleractinia; Pocilloporidae
Source: RefSeq, a predicted model, not a curated record